ACAGCAGUAGCCGCGGGAAUACGUAGGUCCCGAGCGUUGUCCGGAUUUAUUGGGCGUAAAGCGAGCGCAGGCUGUUAGAUAAGUCUGAAGUUAAAGGCUGUGGCUUAACCAUAGUACGCUUUGGAAACUGUUUAACUUGAGUGCAAGAGGGGAGGGUGGAAUUCCAUGUGUAGCGGUGAAAUGCGUAGAUAUAUGGAGGAACACCGGUGGCGAAAGCGGCUCUCUGGCUUGUAACUGACGCUGAGGCUCGAAAGCGUGGGGAGCAAACAGGAUUAGAUACCCCAGUAGUCCCUGUCUCUUAUACA
This 305-nucleotide ribosomal RNA is filed under the name uncultured bacterium. RNAcentral's name for it is "partial 16S ribosomal RNA". It matches the Rfam family "Bacterial small subunit ribosomal RNA", at positions 506 to 808 of the family's 1533-position model. The record is from RNAcentral.